This 253-nucleotide ribosomal RNA is filed under the name uncultured bacterium. RNAcentral describes it as "partial 16S ribosomal RNA". It matches the Rfam family "Bacterial small subunit ribosomal RNA", at positions 524 to 776 of the family's 1533-position model. The record is from RNAcentral.
UACGUAUGGUGCAAGCGUUGUUCGGAAUUACUGGGCGUAAAGCGCGCGUAGGCGGAUUGUCAAGUCGGGUGUGAAAUCCUGGGGCUCAACCCCAGGGCUGCAUCCGAAACUGGCUUUCUGGAGUCUCGGAGAGGCAGGUGGAAUUUCCGGUGUAGCGGUGAAAUGCGUAGAUAUCGGAAGGAACACCAAUGGCGAAGGCAGCCUGCUGGACGAUGACUGACGCUGAGGCGCGAAAGCGUGGGGAGCAAACAGG